UUCCCGAAAAUACUAAUGGAGCAGUCGUAUCGACUCUGAUAUGUUGUCACAUUGUUUCUCAUAUCGCAGAUUCGAUUCGACAAGCUGCACUUGUAGAUACCGGGGAUAAUGCCACUCA
Molecule: microRNA precursor, 118 nt
Filed under: Brugia malayi
Lineage: Eukaryota; Metazoa; Nematoda; Chromadorea; Rhabditida; Onchocercidae
Description: microRNA bma-mir-2h precursor (bma-mir-2h-1, bma-mir-2h-2)
Gene: bma-mir-2h-1
Source: miRBase by way of RNAcentral